Molecule: long non-coding RNA, 1694 nt
Filed under: Mus musculus (house mouse)
Lineage: Eukaryota; Metazoa; Chordata; Mammalia; Rodentia; Muridae
Description: RIKEN cDNA 2610307P16 gene
Source: RNAcentral
GAAGGGGUGAGAGGGAGAAACCUGCCGCGGCUCUCCGCCUCUUUGUCUGCUCUGGGACUUGGAACAAAAGGGGAAACUCUGAUGAACUCCUUCUCCAGCUCCCUGGACGCCCGAGUAUCUCUUUCUCGCAACUUUGUCAACGCGACUUUCUCCGCUGUCAGGCUGCGCAAAAGUAUCCUAGCGCCUCGCAGGCUGCAACAAUGGAAACAAUGUCCCUUCAAAGUGCGACGAAGUGGAGGGAGAAGGUGUCAUACCAGCGACUCCAAGAGUCAUGUCACCCACUUAGCAGGAGUACUUCUACUGAAAUGCCUUCGAAUUUCUCUUACUGGAUAUAUACCUACCAGCCGCUAGCAUGAAGAUGCCAGGACCGCUGCAAGUUAGCACUGGACAAAGUAGCAUCAACUUCUUCAUUUAGAGUUUCUUCAGUUAAAUUGCUGGGAUUUUCGACAAGGCUUUCCUUAUGUGGAUUAUUGGAGUGUGAUGCCCGAGAAUUCUCUACUUGUAGAAGAUCAUCCAGUAACCAACCCAGGAAGUUCUUGUAAGCAUGCAUUUCUUAGUCAACACUGAAUGCCUUUAGACCGAGGUCAACCUUUUCAGCUGGUACCGUGGUUUACACUGCUGAUGGGAAUGAGUGAUGGCCAUCCAGUGACCAGCUGGAUCUGACUGCCUUACAAGACGCAUGUGUAUGAUUAAGAGAGAGACAUUCGUGACUCCCAGAUGUACCUCCUUCCUGUCCCACAGUGUUCCUGAAGGGAGUGAGUUAUGGGGUAACUUAUAACACAGCAGGCUCUUCCUCAAGAUAGCUCUUGUCAAAACAGGAAGACGAAACUCGGGUUUCCAUGAGGAGACCACAGCUUGGGAUCCUGUCUGGAUGUACAAGCAGAAGCAUCUUCAUACUUUUCCAUUUCUAACCAUCAUGCCUCACCCCACCCUCCCAAGGCGACAUCUGCAGAGAGGUGGAACCAUCUAGGGAGGCCUGCCACUGUUUGCUGAGCUCCGGGUGAGGAUGAAGACACUUUGACAUGGCCAGCUUCAGACUCGGGAUCUGUCGGUGUUAGCAGCCGAAGGAGAAUGAGGAGGAAGAGGAGGAGAAAGAGGAGGAGGAAGUAAGACAGAGGGGGACAAGAGGACCAAGAGGGCACAUGGCUGAGGAGGAGGAGAACAACAACAACAACAACAACAACAACAACAACAAGAAGCUUGGUGUUUUCAGGAUGUGUUCCUGAGUCUCGUGAGUAGCACAUGGCAGUUGUUGUCACCUUGGGCUGAGCCGUGAAGAUUCUCACCCUCCCUUGUUGGGGAUGAACUCCGGGAUUCUAAGGAGAGGUCAGCAGGUGUUUCACAGACUGUUCCUGUUGGAGGAUUUGUCUGAUACUCUUCUCCUGAUUAGUCUGGGCUCUACAUUUCCCCAAGGGUGAAACUUGGAAGCCCUCUCCAGGAUGCAGCAGGUAGCUGAGGAGAAAACGAAGACUGACCAGCCCAGAGCUCAGAGCUUCCUCCCAUGCUCAGGAUUUACCACCAAUGCCAUUACAUCGGCCUCUUCUUGUAUGCCUCUGGAAACCACAUGUGUCCUCUGUUUGUAAUGGUUUGGCUAUGGUUGCUGGCCCCUCUUGGACAUUGUUUUCAGAACUUAAAGAAACAUUGCUUUAAAGAUUUAUUAGAACAUAUUUAAAAUAAAACCAUCUUCUCAUUUA